This 292-nucleotide ribosomal RNA is filed under the name uncultured bacterium. RNAcentral describes it as "partial 16S ribosomal RNA". It matches the Rfam family "Bacterial small subunit ribosomal RNA", at positions 505 to 796 of the family's 1533-position model. The record is from RNAcentral.
GUGCCAGCCGCCGCGGUAAUACGGAGGGUGCAAGCGUUGUCCGGAAUCACUGGGCGUAAAGGGUGCGCAGGCGGGGCAGCAAGUCGGAGGUGAAAGCCCAUGGCUCAACCAUGGAAGUGCCUUCGAAACUGUUGCUCUUGAGUCCCGGAGAGGCUGUCGGAAUUCGUGGUGUAGCGGUGAAAUGCGUAGAUAUCACGAGGAACACCAGAGGCGAAAGCGGGCAGCUGGACGGGUACUGACGCUCAGGCACGAAAGCGUGGGGAGCAAACAGGAUUAGAUACCCGUGUAGUCC